AAUAAUAAAAAAAUAAUAAAUGUACUAUCACGAAAGAAAGUGAGCUAAACAUGUAUAGAUUAUUACUUACGUAGUAUAGUAUGUAUAAAAUACACGUUUAGGGGUGAUAGGCUUUUCAAACUUUCUUAUAACUUGUUUCAUAUGAAAAGUAUUUAGUACCAAGACACAUUUAAAAAGUUAAGCUUUUAAAUAAUUAUUAAAAAUAUUAUUUUUUUUGUAGUGUAGUGUAAUAGCUGUCUACAUGAUAACUUAAUAUUAAGUAUGGCAAUUUAUAUGUUAUAUUAUGAUGAUAAUGAUUGUUUCAUUAUUUAAUAAUGUUAUUAUUAGUAAAUAUUAAUAUAUGUGUUAAAGGAACUCGGCAAAUAACUGCUCAACUGUUUAUCAAAAACAUAGCUAUAUGAGUUAAUAUAUAGUUAUUUCUGCUCAAUGACUUAAAUAGCCGCAGUACUCUGACUGUGCAAAGGUAGCAUAAUCAGUUGGCUUUUAAUUAAAGUCUAGUAUGAAUGAAAAUAUGGGUGGUAACUGUCUUAACAUAUUUUUUUAAUUUAUUCAACAAGUGCAAAUACUUGUAGUUAAAAAAUAGACGAGAAGACCCUAGAAACUUGAAUUAGUUUUUGUUGGGGCGACAGAAUUACAGUUAAUUAGUUUUAUUAUACAUGACAUAAUAUUGGAAAGAAUAAGUUACUCUAGGGAUAACAGCAUAAUUUCAUUAGUUUGUGACCUCGAUGUUGGACUAGGUACUGUACCCUUAAGGCAAGGAUAUAUCAUGCUCUGUUCGAGCAAGAAUACCUACAUGAUCUGAGUUCAGACCGG
Molecule: ribosomal RNA, 813 nt
Filed under: Helix schlaeflii
Lineage: Eukaryota; Metazoa; Mollusca; Gastropoda; Stylommatophora; Helicidae
Description: partial large subunit ribosomal RNA
Source: RNAcentral